This is a non-coding RNA of Salmo salar (Atlantic salmon), 366 nucleotides long. The record is from RefSeq and is a predicted model, not a curated record. Lineage: Eukaryota; Metazoa; Chordata; Actinopteri; Salmoniformes; Salmonidae.
UCAUUUCAUUCGAUCUGCACUCAGUGAUGGUAAAAUAAGUAUUGAAUAUUGUCCAACGGCAGACAUGGCUGCAGAUGUUUUGACUAAACCUGUAACGAAGUUCAAAAAUGAAAGAUUCUUGGGUUACAUGUUUGGAAUAUAAACCGACAUUUGUGAGAUGAAUAACUGUAAGCUAAAUGUGUUGAUAAAGUUAGGUUGAAUACGACUUGUACAGUAUAAGAGCAAGUGGGGGUGUUGGCAUGUGGACUAAUAUGUUGUUGAGUUGUGUUCUUACACUGGUACAGUCAUGCCCUAUGAGAGAUGUAUGACUGCGCAUGUGCGAAAAUAAAUAAAGUGCAUUUUCCCCCGUUCUGGUUAAAACACCAA